RNAcentral lists this ribosomal RNA (542 nucleotides) under uncultured archaeon. RNAcentral describes it as "bacterial SSU rRNA". It matches the Rfam family "Archaeal small subunit ribosomal RNA", at positions 457 to 997 of the family's 1478-position model. The record is from RNAcentral.
GUCAGCCGCCGCGGGAACACCGGCGGCCCGAGUGGUGAUCGUGAUUAUUGGGUCUAAAGGGUCCGUAGCCGGUUUGGUCAGUCCUCCGGGAAAUCUGAUAGCUCAACUAUUAGGCUUUCGGGGGAUACUGCCAGACUUGGAACCGGGAGAGGUAAGAGGUACUACAGGGGUAGGAGUGAAAUCUUGUAAUCCCUGUGGGACCACCUGUGGCGAAGGCGUCUUACCAGAACGGGUUCGACGGUGAGGGACGAAAGCUGGGGGCACGAACCGGAUUAGAUACCCGGGUAGUCCCAGCCGUAAACGAUGCUCGCUAGGUGUCAGGCAUGGCGCGACCGUGUCUGGUGCCGCAGGGAAGCCGUGAAGCGAGCCACCUGGGAAGUACGGCCGCAAGGCUGAAACUUAAAGGAAUUGGCGGGGGAGCACAACAACGGGUGGAGCCCUGCGGUUUAAUUGGACUCAACGCCGGACAACUCACCGGGGGCGACAGCAAUAUGUAGGCCAAGCUGAAGACUUUGCCUGAAUCGCUGAGAAGUGGUGCAUGG